AGUGGCGAACGGGUGAGUAACACGUGGGCAAUCUGCCCUGCACACCGGGAUAAGCCUGGGAAACUGGGUCUAAUACCGGAUAGGACCACUUGGCGCAUGCCUUGUGGUGGAAAGCUUUUGCGGUGUGGGAUGGGCCCGCGGCCUAUCAGCUUGUUGGUGGGGUGACGGCCUACCAAGGCGACGACGGGUAGCCGGCCUGAGAGGGUGUCCGGCCACACUGGGACUGAGAUACGGCCCAGACUCCUACGGGAGGCAGCAGUGGGGAAUAUUGCACAAUGGGCGCAAGCCUGAUGCAGCGACGCCGCGUGGGGGAUGACGGCCUUCGGGUUGUAAACCUCUUUCACCAUCGACGAAGGUCCGGGUUCUCUCGGAUUGACGGUAGGUGGAGAAGAAGCACCGGCCAACUACGUGCCAGCAGCCGCGGUAAUACGUAGGGUGCGAGCGUUGUCCGGAAUUACUGGGCGUAAAGAGCUCGUAGGUGGUUUGUCGCGUUGUUCGUGAAAUCUCACGGCUUAACUGUGAGCGUGCGGGCGAUACGGGCAGACUAGAGUACUGCAGGGGAGACUGGAAUUCCUGGUGUAGCGGUGGAAUGCGCAGAUAUCAGGAGGAACACCGGUGGCGAAGGCGGGUCUCUGGGCAGUAACUGACGCUGAGGAGCGAAAGCGUGGGGAGCGAACAGGAUUAGAUACCCUGGUAGUCCACGCCGUAAACGGUGGGUACUAGGUGUGGGUUUCCUUCCUU
Molecule: ribosomal RNA, 741 nt
Filed under: Mycobacterium kansasii
Lineage: Bacteria; Bacillati; Actinomycetota; Actinomycetes; Mycobacteriales; Mycobacteriaceae
Description: bacterial SSU rRNA
Rfam family: Bacterial small subunit ribosomal RNA
Source: RNAcentral